ACGCUGGCGGCAGGCCUAACACAUGCAAGUCGAGCGGUAGCACAGGAGAGCUUGCUCUCUGGGUGACGAGCGGCGGACGGGUGAGUAAUGUCUGGGAAACUGCCUGAUGGAGGGGGAUAACUACUGGAAACGGUAGCUAAUACCGCAUGACCUCGCAAGAGCAAAGUGGGGGACCUUCGGGCCUCACGCCAUCGGAUGUGCCCAGAUGGGAUUAGCUAGUAGGUGGGGUAAUGGCUCACCUAGGCGACGAUCCCUAGCUGGUCUGAGAGGAUGACCAGCCACACUGGAACUGAGACACGGUCCAAACUCCUACGGGAGGCAGCAGUGGGGAAUAUUGCACAAUGGGCGCAAGCCUGAUGCAGCCAUGCCGUGUGUGUGAAGAAGGCCUUAGGGUUGUAAAGCACUUUCCGCGAGGAGGAAGGCGUUGCAGUUAAUAGCUGCAGCGAUUGACGUUACUCGCAGAAGAAGCACCGGCUAACUCCGUGCCAGCAGCCGCGGUAAUACGGAGGGUGCAAGCGUUAAUCGGAAUUACUGGGCGUAAAGCGCACGCAGGCGGUUUGUUAAGUCAGAUGUGAAAUCCCCGAGCUUAACUUGGGAACUGCAUUUGAAACUGG
This 614-nucleotide ribosomal RNA is filed under the name uncultured bacterium. RNAcentral's name for it is "bacterial SSU rRNA". It matches the Rfam family "Bacterial small subunit ribosomal RNA", at positions 33 to 636 of the family's 1533-position model. The record is from RNAcentral.